UGGCUCAGGAUGAACGCUAGCUACAGGCUUAACACAUGCAAGUCGAGGGGCAUCAGGAAGAAAGCUUGCUUUCUUUGCUGGCGACCGGCGCACGGGUGAGUAACACGUAUCCAACCUGCCCUUUACUCGGGGAUAGCCUUUCGAAAGAAAGAUUAAUACCCGAUAGCAUAAUGAUUCCGCAUGGUUUCAUUAUUAAAGGAUUCCGGUAAAGGAUGGGGAUGCGUUCCAUUAGGUUGUUGGUGAGGUAACGGCCCACCAAGCCUUCGAUGGAUAGGGGUUCUGAGAGGAAGGUCCCCCACAUUGGAACUGAGACACGGUCCAAACUCCUACGGGAGGCAGCAGUGAGGAAUAUUGGUCAAUGGGCGCUAGCCUGAACCAGCCAAGUAGCGUGAAGGAUGAAGGCUCUAUGGGUCGUAAACUUCUUUUAUAUAAGAAUAAAGUGCAGUAUGUAUACUGUUUUGUAUGUAUUAUAUGAAUAAGGAUCGGCUAACUCCGUGCCAGCAGCCGCGGUAAUACGGAGGAUCCGAGCGUUAUCCGGAUUUAUUGGGUUUAAAGGGAGCGUAGGUGGACUGGUAAGUCAGUUGUGAAAGUUUGCGGCUCAACCGUAAAAUUGCAGUUGAUACUGUCAGUCUUGAGUACAGUAGAGGUGGGCGGAAUUCGUGGUGUAGCGGUGAAAUGCUUAGAUAUCACGAAGAACUCCGAUUGCGAAGGCAGCUCACUGGACUGCAACUGACACUGAUGCUCGAAAGUGUGGGUAUCAAACAGGAUUAGAUACCCUGGUAGUCCACACAGUAAACGAUGAAUACUCGCUGUUUGCGAUAUACAGUAAGCGGCCAAGCGAAAGCAUUAAGUAUUCCACCUGGGGAGUACGCCGGCAACGGUGAAACUCAAAGGAAUUGACGGGGGCCCGCACAAGCGGAGGAACAUGUGGUUUAAUUCGAUGAUACGCGAGGAACCUUACCCGGGCUUAAAUUGCAGUGGAAUGAUGUGGAAACAUGUCAGUGAGCAAUCACCGCUGUGAAGGUGCUGCAUGGUUGUCGUCAGCUCGUGCCGUGAGGUGUCGGCUUAAGUGCCAUAACGAGCGCAACCCUUAUCUUUAGUUACUAACAGGUUAUGCUGAGGACUCUAGAGAGACUGCCGUCGUAAGAUGUGAGGAAGGUGGGGAUGACGUCAAAUCAGCACGGCCCUUACGUCCGGGGCUACACACGUGUUACAAUGGGGGGUACAGAAGGCAGCUAGCGGGUGACCGUAUGCUAAUCCCAAAAUCCUCUCUCAGUUCGGAUCGAAGUCUGCAACCCGACUUCGUGAAGCUGGAUUCGCUAGUAAUCGCGCAUCAGCCACGGCGCGGUGAAUACGUUCCCGGGCCUUGUACACACCGCCCGUCAAGCCAUGGGAGCCGGGGGUACCUGAAGUACGUAACCGCAAGGAUCGUCCUAGGGU
RNAcentral lists this ribosomal RNA (1440 nucleotides) under uncultured organism. RNAcentral's name for it is "SSU rRNA". It matches the Rfam family "Bacterial small subunit ribosomal RNA". The record is from RNAcentral.